CAUCUUCACAUCUGGUUCUUCAUUGUGAACGGUAGGGAUCUUGUUUCGAGCUCUGAUUCUACUGUUUUUGGUUACGUAAACAGCUGCUGUUUUUAUUGAAUCUCUGAACGGACCAGUUUCAUCAUUUACAGCAAUCGGAAAGUCAUUGUGGUCUGAUUGAGCUGAAUUUUUUGGUGGGCACAGUGGAGACAUAUUGUUUUUUAAUUUGGAUGGUGGAGAUCGGGUUUUGACGACUAGAAGGUCAAUUUGGAUAGGCAGCAGCUAUGUAUUUUGGUGAAUCUCUCCAAAACUUAGCUAUCUCUUAUUAAUUUAUUUGAAUUAUCUUGAGAUUUUUGGUUGAAAAUUGUUUAUGGUGUUUGUGAUUGCUGUAAACCUUUGUUGUGAUAGCAGAGCUGUUUCAAUUGGACCAAGAAAUUUAUCCUUCAAAGUGAAGGAGUUUUUCAUGUAAAAAAA
This 453-nucleotide unclassified non-coding RNA is filed under the name Hevea brasiliensis (rubber tree). The record is from RNAcentral. Lineage: Eukaryota; Viridiplantae; Streptophyta; Magnoliopsida; Malpighiales; Euphorbiaceae.